UGAUGUAGAGCUUGAUUAGUUAAGCAAUUCAUUUACAUUGAAUUUAUAGUCGUGCAAAUCGAUUUACAUUAA
RNAcentral lists this transfer RNA (72 nucleotides) under Simocephalus sibiricus. RNAcentral's name for it is "tRNA-Val". It matches the Rfam family "tRNA". From Rfam's summary of the family: Transfer RNA (tRNA) molecules are approximately 80 nucleotides in length. Their secondary structure includes four short double-helical elements and three loops (D, anti-codon, and T loops). Further hydrogen bonds mediate the characteristic L-shaped molecular structure. tRNAs have two regions of fundamental functional importance: the anti-codon, which is responsible for specific mRNA codon recognition, and the 3' end, to which the tRNAs corresponding amino acid is attached (by aminoacyl-tRNA synthetases). tRNAs cope with the degeneracy of the genetic code in two manners: having more than one tRNA (with a specific anti-codon) for a particular amino acid; and 'wobble' base-pairing, i.e. permitting non-standard base-pairing at the 3rd anti-codon position. The record is from RNAcentral. Lineage: Eukaryota; Metazoa; Arthropoda; Branchiopoda; Diplostraca; Daphniidae.